This 484-nucleotide ribosomal RNA is filed under the name uncultured bacterium. RNAcentral's name for it is "partial 16S ribosomal RNA". It matches the Rfam family "Bacterial small subunit ribosomal RNA", at positions 30 to 507 of the family's 1533-position model. The record is from RNAcentral.
AUUGAACGCUGGCGGAAUGCUUUACACAUGCAAGUCGAACGGCAGCACGGGGCCAGCCCUGGUUGCGAGUGGCGAACGGGUGAGUAAUACAUCGGAACGUGCCCGGCCGUGGGGGAUAACGUAGCGAAAGUUACGCUAAUACCGCAUACGAUCUGAGGAUGAAAGAGGGGGACCUUCGGACCUCGCGCGAUCGUAGCGGCCGAUGUCAGAUUAGGUAGUUGGUGGGGUAAAGGCCUACCAAGCCGACGAUCUGUAGCUGGUCUGAGAGGACGACCGGCCACACUGGGACUGAGACACGGCCAAGACUCCUACGGGAGGCAGCAGUGGGGAAUUUUGGACAAUGGGCGCAAGCCUGAUCCAGCCAUUCCGCGUGCAGGACGAAGGCCUUCGGGUUGUAAACUGCUUUUGUACGGAACGAAAAGGCUCUGGCUAAUACCUGGGGCUCAUGACGGUACCGUAAGAAUAAGCACCGGCUAACUACGUG